Molecule: long non-coding RNA, 2618 nt
Filed under: Mus pahari (shrew mouse)
Lineage: Eukaryota; Metazoa; Chordata; Mammalia; Rodentia; Muridae
Description: lncRNA (MGP_PahariEiJ_G0006424.1)
Source: RNAcentral
CAGCGUGAUGACUCACCAGCCUUACUUCCUGCUGUGGAGUGCUUUCUCCUGCUCAGCAAGGCUCAGCGCUGAAUUUCCUGUGACAUUUGCAUAAUUCUGAGUCUCUUCUGGACUGUGAAGGAGAACUUGUAAAAAGUUGUGUCUGCUGAGACUGGUUGACUGAUUAAAAUUUCAGGACUAUGGAGAGAUUUGAAUGUUACAGGUCCAGAGACUAAUUACAUUAUCUUCGGUUAACUGUACCCCCAAAUCUCAACAGCUAUUCCUUGCCUGCCUCUGUGUCAGAACCAACAUACUGUGACUAAUAGAUAAAAAAACCUUUGGAAACUAUUAAUUUAACAGACCUUCUACCAAACCCAAAGAUAAGAGUGUUAACAGAUAACAUCUUUGGUCUAUAAAAUAAGUCUCCUCAACCUUGCUGUAACCACCUUUUGGAUAUGCCCACCAAUGUAUUUUAAGCUUAUCCUGAUUUAUGACUUUCAUUUUUCUCUAAAACUAUAAAACUUCAUGGAACUGCUUCUAUGUUAGAACAUGGACUUUGGGGUAUCUUAAUCUGUGUUUCUGGUCAUUCAGAAUGGAUCCAGAAUGAACUAGCUUUUAUUCUUUUUAAGAAGGAAAAUUGUUUUUUUGUGUUGACACAAUCAAAGUCAAAUUUUAAAUGAAUUAAAAAUUAUUUUUAAAAGUAAGAAUUGAUUAUUGAUAUUAGCUCCCCCAAUUAAGCAAAAGCUAUUGACAUAGUAUGUUAAGAAGUGUGCAUGUCUGUCCUCUGACUCGUGAUGGAAUUCAAAUAUGUUUUGGUGAACAAGUUUAGUAAUAGUGGGUGACUAUGGCUAUCAUAGUAUGGGGACUCCUCAAUAAGAACACAGAAACUAAGAAACUUCUAUCUCUUUAAAAAAGAAUGGACCAUUUUGCCUCCAGAGGAUGCAAAUUGAACAUGUCUUUGUGUUUUCACAUAGAAUUUUAUUUCUGUUCUCACACCCCACCCUCCUUUACAUGAAUAUUAAGGUCCAAGGCUUUAGCAACAGGCUUUUGGUCCUGGGGGAAGAAAGGGUAAAGGGAAAAGUGUUGUGUAUGGCUUUUCAUAUGUUAAUGGUUGCUUCCAUGGCAACCAUUGAAAAAAACAGAAGGGCUAGGGACAAAAGGGGCUGCAGGAGAGAGGAUGGGGCUCUUUCAGGGGCUAGAAGGAAUAACAGCCCAGACCCUCCCCUCUGAAAGAUAGCUGAUGGCCAGGCCUCAAAGGACUUGUCUUAAUAGUGCAGAGCCAGUAUGUAGUUAAUGCAGAGUUUUAUGAGUCCAAAUUUCACCCUCAAUGAUGUUUCCCCUUUAAAACGUGGAGAAUAAGAAUCUGAAACCAAGAGGAUGUUUCAAAUCACUGCUCCCAUUGGGACCUGCAAUGGAGUCUCUCUAGAGGACACACUAGACUAUCGGUUCUAAGCAUCAGACAUUUCAGUUUUGAGUUAAAAGGUCAAGGGCUUUUAUCUUUGAGUACAAGAAGGCUUUUAAAGCUGGCUGACUAAGAGCAAGCACAGUGGGAAUGGCUGUGCUCUCUCUCACAUGCAUCCUUUGAACACUGUUGUCCCUGAUGACAUGUUGAAAUGGUACAGGACACAGACAAGAGCAGGUCACAGGACACAGAGGACACUGGUGACAUUCCAUUCCUUGGCUUCCUUGACCAAUGAAAAGAAUUCCUGGCUGCCUAUCUAUCCUCCUAGAAACAAGAGGUUACAUCCUCACAUCAGAUUCCCUAGUGUGCUAAGUCUUCAUGUGAACUUCGGUGGUUAUACAUAUGAAAUAGCUGCUGUAUCUUGCCAGCACAACACACUCUUUCUAGCCCUUUCUCGACUACUGUAAAGCAGUACAUUCAGUAAUAAUGCUGACUUUAUCAAUUUUCUAUCCAGCCUUGUUUUCUUGCAUGUGUAUUCCUCAGUCUUUGAUUGAAUUAUAUUGAAUUCUUCUCUCUCUCUCUCUCUCUUUUUUUUUGUCUCCUUUAAAUAGUGGCCAGAGACCAGCCACCAGUAGCUGUGAUACAGUGUUUUCUCUGUUUCGAUAGACACAAGGGCUUUUUAUCACAAUGGAAUGCUUAUGGAAUUGCAUGUUUCAAAAGACACUAACAUGAAAAUACAACUUCAUUCAAAGUCAGGUUACAAUUAUGAAUAGCAAGGCUGCAAUGAAGAUAGAGAGAAAGAAGUGCUGGUCUGUCUUUCUUUCAGUGGUUAUAAAAUGUAAUGCAUGUUUUUUUUUCCCCUCAUAAGCCUUAUGAACUUAGUCCCACUUUCAUGCUAUUCAAAACUCUGAUGGGGUAGAAAGAACAGAGUUAUUGUAGCUACCAGGAAUCCCAGUUUGAAAUCUGACAAUAUUGUUACCAAUAUUAUAUUAUAAAGAGAUAGUUUCUUCAAAAUAAUCUUAUUUUUGAAUGCCUGUUUUGCUUGAUAUUUGCUGAGUAGUAUUUGACAUCUGAUAUUUUGGCAACAACACUGAAUAAUUCAUCUGUUCAUCAAAGUUUUUAGAAGUAUUCUCAUAGACUAGGACUUGGUCAUAUUUGAUCAGUACAUGAUAUGACUGGUUCUCAUGGAAAUGUAGCCUAGUAUAUAUUGAUAAUUGUGUUAAUAAAGAAUCAUCCC